UACGGAGGGUGCAAGCGUUAAUCGGAAUUACUGGGCGUAAAGCGCGCGUAGGCGGCGACGUAAGUCGGGUGUGAAAGCCCCGGGCUCAACCUGGGAAUUGCAUUCGAGACUGUGUUGCUGGAGUACGGAAGAGGAGGGCGGAAUUCCCGGUGUAGCGGUGAAAUGCUUAGAUAUCCUGAGGAACACCAGUGGCGAAAGCGACUUUCUGGCACGAAACUGACGCUGAGGCUCGAAAGCAUGGGUAGCGAACGGGAUUAGAUACCCGUGUAGU
RNAcentral lists this ribosomal RNA (271 nucleotides) under uncultured bacterium. RNAcentral's name for it is "partial 16S ribosomal RNA". It matches the Rfam family "Bacterial small subunit ribosomal RNA", at positions 524 to 794 of the family's 1533-position model. The record is from RNAcentral.